GCCGUAGCUCAGAGGCUGAGCGUUGGCCUUGCAAGCAGAAGCUCUCAGGUUCAAUCCCCGCUGGGACCG
Non-coding RNA from Podarcis lilfordi (Lilford's wall lizard), 69 nucleotides. The record is from the annotation of a GenBank genome assembly. Lineage: Eukaryota; Metazoa; Chordata; Lepidosauria; Squamata; Lacertidae.